RNAcentral lists this ribosomal RNA (328 nucleotides) under uncultured bacterium. RNAcentral describes it as "bacterial SSU rRNA". It matches the Rfam family "Bacterial small subunit ribosomal RNA", at positions 28 to 334 of the family's 1533-position model. The record is from RNAcentral.
GACGAACGCUGGCGGCGUGCCUAAUACAUGCAAGUCGAACGCUUCUUUUUCCACCGGAGCUUGCUCCACCGGAAAAAGAAGAGUGGCGAACGGGUGAGUAACACGUGGGUAACCUGCCCAUCAGAAGGGGAUAACACUUGGAAACAGGUGCUAAUACCGUAUAACAAUCAAAACCGCAUGGUUUUGAUUUGAAAGGCGCUUUCGGGUGUCGCUGAUGGAUGGACCCGCGGUGCAUUAGCUAGUUGGUGAGGUAACGGCUCACCAAGGCCACGAUGCAUAGCCGGUCUGAGAGGAUGACCAGCCACACUGGAACUGAGACACGGUCCAG